Molecule: unclassified non-coding RNA, 3177 nt
Filed under: Mus musculus (house mouse)
Lineage: Eukaryota; Metazoa; Chordata; Mammalia; Rodentia; Muridae
Description: nuclear enriched abundant transcript 1
Rfam family: Nuclear enriched abundant transcript 1 conserved region 1 (bases 442-563)
Source: RNAcentral
AGGAGUUAGUGACAAGGAGGGCUCGCUCUUGGGGCUAGUGGUGGGGAGGCAGUGGCCAGUUCAGGGCUCAGAUGAGAGAGGUGGCAGAAUUAGAGGCAGCCACUAGGAUGGGGGUGCGAGGAGAAGCGGGGCUAAGUAUAAAGGAGACUAGAUUUUGGGACAGUGGACGUGUGGAAGGCAGCUUCCAAAGCGCCUUUAACAAUCCACAAAGAACCAGCAGCUUUCAAGACCAGGCUAUCCCUGCUGUCUGCUGGCACUUGACGUCCAGGAGGGCACAAGUUUCACAGGCCUACAUGGGGGCAGUGUCCUAACUUGAGUGGCAGAGCAGCAGUUGAUGGAGACGGGUGGACUGGGGGCCCUUGAAGGCCCCGGAAAUCAUAGAGGACAGGCAGUGGGGCAGGACUAGGUGCGUAGUGGAGGUCGCCUUUGAUCUUGACAAAACCAGCAGACCCCUUUUUUUCCAGAUAAGGGGUUGUGAACCCACCUGGGGAUGAGGCCUGGUCUUAUGGAAGGUGGACUUAGCUUCGCUGGGCGGACAGCUCUGGCCCAGGGUGGUAUGUAAUUUGGGUGUGGCCUGUCUGCACCCACUUCGGGGUGCGAGGGGAGGCCGGAGGAGGCUGCAGAGACAAGUUGUUUUUACUGUCAGGUCUGCCAGGCGGGGACCAUGGAGAUUGAAGGCGCAAGUCUUGGGGCCACAUUAAUCACAACUUUAUUUUUCAGAUAGCAGUGCCCUCUCUGGACUUUGCCUAGGUUCCGUGCUUCCUCUUCUGUGGUCUCACUCUUCCCUACUCUUGCCCCUCACUCUGAGGUUAAGGGGUCACUUAAAACCUUGCCCCUGGGUCGUCCGGUAAGCCUGUGGAGGAUGUAGAGUCGGUGCUGGAGUCUUGGGCACGGCAUUUUGGUAAAGGUGGAGGACACCCUGACUGGGCGGGGAGGGAUGGUGUUGAUUCACAGAGGGCGGGACGUGAGUGUGGACCCUGGGGUGGGCUCACAGCCAUGUUUCCGGUCACCCAAAUGCUUCAUGGACGUGGUUUAUCACUAUAGUGUUCACCAUGGCAAGCAGAUGGCACCAGGAGAUAUGGAGCCCCUGCCAGUGUGAGUCGUAGCAGUGCAGGAGGGCUCACCCUGGAGGAGACAGCGGCCUCGGUUGACGCCUACACAGUGAAUUCCAGAGGCUUAGGAAGCGCGUCCCUGCCCUGGGUCCAGGCCUUUCUCAGGAAGCCCUGUGCUCAGGAGGCCAUCGUUGAAGUCAGCUUGUAGGGGGUGGGCAGGUGCUUCCAGCCGGAGGGGCCGUCGGCUGUGAAUGUUCCAGAUGAAUGUCUUGUUCUGGGAGCAUCAUUCUUUGCGGAUGCAUGAAUGGCAGCAGGCACCCUUUUUCAUGGGGGUAGAGGCGUUCGACUGCUGCAUCUUCUAAACAAGCCUCCAUCCAGCCUUUGUAGUUCUGUGCUGCGAACUUGGCCUCGAGAAGAUUGCGUAAGGUGUAGGACACUUUAACGUCUGCGCAGCGUGCUGCACUGUAGAUCGGGACCCCAGUGACCUCGCCCACCUUCCCUGCUUCUGCAGCCUGCCUGCCUCUGCAUUGGUCAGAGGGAUUCUUAACUGAAAACUUGUGGGUGUUGGGGAAAGCUGUUGGGUUGUAAAUGACUGGUGUGGAGGAAUCUUCCUUAGAUGGAGCUGGUUGUAAAAUGGGUAGGGUUUGUGGUUUAACAGUGGGAAGGCGCAAGUUAGCCACAAAUUCUGCCGACUUGGUAGAUGCCGUAUCUAAUUUGGGCUUUGGGACGUCUUCUGGACUAAAAGGGAUCCGUGGGCCCGAAGUGGUCCCUGGGAAUGGUCUCUCCCAGGGUGUGGAUUUGAUACUGGGUGGUUGAGUGGCAACAGUGGUUCUGGCCCCUUUUGUUCAUUAGCUUUUAUGACUUAGGGCCUGGCUGUGUAUACCAGGCUGGCCUGGGUUCACAGCCCUGCUCAGAUGACAGUGUCCUGAAACAAUGGCCUUCCAAGGUGAAACCUGAGUUAUGGAUCAAGCUUGGGAAUAAUACUUUUGGCACCAGAUAUGGGACUUGUGGGAGAAAGCAGGGCUCAGCUUGGCAUUGGUGGGUUGAAGGAGUCGGGGUGCGGGUGAGGAUUGUGCCUGGAACCGUGGGUUGAUGGGAAUAACAGUUUGGGAACUAAAUAGUUCACAUGAAAAUCUAAAGGCUGAUGGUAAAUCCCUGCAGGUGGCACUACUUUGAGAUGCAGUUGCUUGGAAAAUACCAAAAUCCUACAAGGGGAAGAGCAAAAUUGUUUUGCUUCACUGUUGAAUGGGGAAGGGUGACAUUGAAAAGCUUUUCUUAGUUGCUCAAUAGAUGGUUGUCACUACCCUGACCUAGGCAGGCCACAGGGGUGGAGCCUGGUGGGGGGAAGCUGAUUGCCAAGAAGUGAAGCUGGGGAGGGGCUUGUAAACGCCUCCCGUUGUGGGCUCUGAAACCAUAGUAUGGGGAGGUUGGCAGACUCUUCUGGGUCUCUAUUGAAAUUCUGUCAUACUGUGUGAUUAAGAAUUCCAAUGCUGCUAUCUAAAGGAAUUUCAUAUGGGAGUCAUGCCUUAUACAACACAUACAGGAAUUUAAUGUGUGAGCCAUGCCUUCAAAACACAUCUUGAAUUUCUGGAAUUGGCCAGAAGACAACAGGGUUUGCUUAUUUAACCUUUCAAAUCAGUCAUUGUGACAAGGGGACAGGGUCUUGCGCUUGCUAUGAGAUCAUUGUGAUGCUUGUAGAAACCUCAUGAGUGCUUUGCCACUGAAUACAUCCAUUGUGGGUUUGGCUUGAAUGGUGCUUAAAAACCAUCCCUGAGCAGAGGGGAAGCUGUUAAACUGUCAGUCAAAGCAGUUUGGGAAAUAAAAGAGACUGGGCCCUGGGUCAUCUUACUAGAUAACACUUUGUAAAAAUUGGUUCUGAAAACCCUGUUUAUUUGCAUAUUUGUGAAAACCCUGUAUAUGUGGUUGUUUUGUGAGUGUGCUUAAAAGUGGUGUGACCAGGGCAAGAUCGCUCAUUGGAACAGCUGUGUGGAAUGGGGAAAUGUGAAGAAAGCUGUAACUGCAGGUUGGUCGCACACGCUUCUCUGUACUAAAGUGUUCAGUGUACAAACCCACUAACCAUUUUCCUCCCCUUUACAGCAAAAUAAAGGUUUGAGAUUGAAGCUUC